Non-coding RNA from Bos taurus (domestic cattle), 72 nucleotides. NCBI's taxonomy places the organism in Eukaryota, Metazoa, Chordata, Mammalia, Artiodactyla, Bovidae. The record is from Rfam.
UCCCUGAUAGCUCGGUUGGUAAAGAAUCUGCCUGCAAUGCAGGAGACCCUGGUUUGAUUCCUGGGUCGGGAA